GACGAACGCUGGCGGCGUGCUUAACACAUGCCAGUCGAACGGUGAAGCGCCUUCCUUUUUGGUGGGUGGGGAUGAGUGGCGAACGGGGGAAUAACACGUUAGUAACCUGCCCCCUCCUUCUGGAUAACCGCAUGAAAGUGUGGCUAAUACGGGAUAUUCUGGAUCUGUCGCAUGAUGGGUCUGGGAAAGAUUUUGUUUCGGUGGGGGAUGGGCUCGCGGCCUAUCAGCUUGUUGGUGGGGUGAUGGCCUACCAAGGCGGCGACGCGUAGCCGGCCUGAGAGGAUGAUGGGCGACACUGGAACUGAGACACGGCCCAGACGACUACUGGAGGCAGCAGUAGGGAAUAUUAGGGAACGGGCGGAAGCCUGAUGAAGCAACGACGCGUGGGGGAAGAUGGUGUUCGGAGGGUAAAGAACUUCUUUUGGGAAAGAAGAAGAGCUGCAUCAUAUGUGGGUGGGUUGACGGUAGCUAAAUAAGAAGCGCCGGCUAACUACGUG
Molecule: ribosomal RNA, 497 nt
Filed under: uncultured bacterium
Lineage: Bacteria
Description: partial 16S ribosomal RNA
Rfam family: Bacterial small subunit ribosomal RNA
Source: RNAcentral